Molecule: ribosomal RNA, 253 nt
Filed under: uncultured bacterium
Lineage: Bacteria
Description: partial 16S ribosomal RNA
Rfam family: Bacterial small subunit ribosomal RNA
Source: RNAcentral
UACGUAGGGGGCGAGCGUUGUCCGGAAUUAUUGGGCGUAAAGAGCGUGUAGGCGGUUCGAUAAGUCGGAUGUGAAAGCCCCGGGCUCAACCCGGGAAGUGCACUCGAUACUGUCGAGCUAGAGUAUCGGAGAGGUUGGUGGAAUUCUCGGUGUAGAGGUGAAAUUCGUAGAUAUCGAGAGGAACACCGGUGGCGAAGGCGGCCAACUGGACGAAUACUGACGCUGAGACUCGAAAGCGUGGGGAGCAAACAGG